Molecule: ribosomal RNA, 388 nt
Filed under: uncultured bacterium
Lineage: Bacteria
Description: bacterial SSU rRNA
Rfam family: Bacterial small subunit ribosomal RNA
Source: RNAcentral
GACGAACGCUGGCGGCGUGCUUAACACAUGCAAGUCGAGCGAGGCUCCUCCUUCGGGAGGAUGUCCUAGCGGCGAACGGGUGAGUAACACGUGGGCAACCUGCCCCUAGCACUGGGAUAACCCCGGGAAACCGGAGCUAAUACCGGAUACGACCACAGUUGGCAUCAACAUGUGGUGGAAAGAUUCAUCGGCUAGGGAUGGGCCCGCGGCCUAUCAGCUUGUUGGUGGGGAGUGGCCCACCAAGGCGACGACGGGUAGCCGGCCUGAGAGGGCGACCGGCCACACUGGGACUGAGACACGGCCCAGACUCCUACGGGAGGCAGCAGUGGGGAAUAUUGCUCAAUGGGCGCAAGCCUGAAGCAGCGACGCCGCGUGAGGGAUGAAGGCC